CCUACGGGGGGCAGCAGUGGGGGAUAUUGCACAAUGGGGGGAACCCUGAUGCAGCGACGCCGCGUGGGUGAAGAAGCGCCUAGGCGCGUAAAGCCCUGUCAGCAGGGAAGAAAAUGACGGUACCUGAAGAAGAAGCCCCGGCUAACUACGUGCCAGCAGACGCGGUAAUACGUAGGGGGCAAGCGUUAUCCGGAUUUACUGGGUGUAAAGGGGGCGCAGACGGCUAGGCAAGCCAGGAGUGAAAGUCUGGGGCUCAACCCCGAGACUGCUCUUGGUACUGGGUGGCUGGAGUGCAGGAGGGGCAGGCGGAAUGCCUGGUGUAGCGGUGAAAUGCGGAGAUAUCAGGAGGAACACCGGUGGCGAAGGCGGCCUGCUGGACUGCAACUGACGUUGAGGCCCGAAAGCGUGGGGAGCAAACAGGAUUAGAUACCCGUGUAGUC
This 440-nucleotide ribosomal RNA is filed under the name uncultured bacterium. Its description in RNAcentral is "partial 16S ribosomal RNA". It matches the Rfam family "Bacterial small subunit ribosomal RNA", at positions 338 to 795 of the family's 1533-position model. The record is from RNAcentral.